Molecule: ribosomal RNA, 857 nt
Filed under: Clathrina rubra
Lineage: Eukaryota; Metazoa; Porifera; Calcarea; Clathrinida; Clathrinidae
Description: eukaryotic LSU rRNA
Rfam family: 5.8S ribosomal RNA (bases 330-483)
Source: RNAcentral
UUCAUUUAGAGGAAGUAAAAGUCGUAACAAGGUUUCCGUAGGUGAACCUGCGGAAGGAUCAUUACCGAUUCUCAAUACCUUGACACCUGUGAAUUUGGUCGCUGCGUGUGCGCGCGUUUUCUCCUUUUGGGGUUGGCCCAGCAGGGCCAUUAAAUCGUGGGUCUGCUUCCCGCAGCCCCAAUUGGAGUUUCCGUGUGUGCGCAGUGGUUUUCCUCGCUUCGCCACCGUGCGGGGCAACCUUGAACUUUUUUAACCAUGCCUGUAAAUUUGCAGACUGAACUGUCGGGCUUUCUAACGAAAGCUUGUCUCUUGAUACUUGAAUCAUGGACAACUUUCAACGGUGGAUCUCUUGGCUCGUGGAUCGAUGAAGAACGCAGCAAAACGCGAUAUGUAGUGUGAAUUGCAGAAUUCAGUGAAUCAUCGAAUCUUUGAACGCAAAUGGCGCUCCUGGGUAUUCCCAGGAGCAUGUCUGUCUCAGCGUCGUUUUCACCUCGAGCGCGCUUCGGCGCGGUGGUCUUGAGGCGUCUGGGCGCCGCUGCUGCUGCCGCUCUUGCGGCGGGCAAGCAGCACCCAGUCCCUUGAAAUGCAGUGGCCGGACAGUUGUGUGCUUUCGGCGUCGGUUCGACUCGAUCGCUCGCACGGCUGAUGGCGAGUUUGCCUCGUGCAAUCUCCCUUGUCGUGUCGCAGCGAUCGUCAGCUCGGGCUGGACUCCGAUCAUGGCCGCCUGACCGAACAAAGCCAGCUCUGGAAAACACGCGUUGGGUGUGUGUGAAACACAAACAACACCUUCGACCUGAGAUCAGGCAAGACUACCCGCUGAAUUUAAGCAUAUUAAUAAGCGGAGGAAAAGAAACCAA